RNAcentral lists this long non-coding RNA (1366 nucleotides) under Anser brachyrhynchus (Pink-footed goose). RNAcentral describes it as "lncRNA (ENSABRG00000009154.1)". Lineage: Eukaryota; Metazoa; Chordata; Aves; Anseriformes; Anatidae. The record is from RNAcentral.
AAAACAUAGGCCAGACCUUCAGUCAAUGUAAACUGGUAUCAUUUGAAGCCAGCUGGAAGGAGUGCAAUUUAUACCAGCUGAGGAGCUCACCCUCCAUGUCUGAGGUAAAGCACAAACAGCACUGUUACUCUUUCCAAUACCGUGACAUGGUUUUCUUUCUCAUCUGAAUGGUUUGAUUGCACAUUUCCCUUUUAAAAGUUUAAGCUUCUGAGUGAAAGUUGCCUGAUUAGAGUAUGAAUAGCAAGGAAAAUAGUUGCUUGAGAUUGGUAAUGGAAUUUAUGCUUUCACCAUAACUAGCAAAUGUACAAGAACUUAUUGUCAUUGUAGUCCUGUAAAGUAUAUUUCAUUUUCUCACUGUGCAUAUGGAAACACUGCAAACCUGAGUCCAUGGCCAGAGAACAAAUCACUGUCAGUCACUCCUUUCCGCAGGAGACAAUCCAUGUUUGCCUUGGUUGGUGGUUUCAGGUGUUCCCAAGAUUUUCAAAGCAACUGGAGAAAGUGCCUUCUUUCUCAUGGCCUUAUCAGCCUCAGAGGGAAAGGAUACAGGUGGAACCAUUAAGUUCUCCUUAAUGUCAUGACAAAAUCCACAAACAGGAAGAUCAGGAAGAUGGCCCCUAUGUUCUCAGAUACUCUGUGUGUGAUUUACAUGAGGAGAUGGAUGAAGAGUGGACACAGCUCACCUUGCAACUGGAGCCUGUAUUAAAACAGUUAAUGAACUGCACAAAGAGAAGCAAACCAAGCAGGCGCUGUGUACAGGCUAAUACAUUCUUUCUGCAUUAUAAAUAUUUGUGUUUAUGAAGAUUAAUGGACUGAAACAUUUUAGAGUGAAGUCCGUUGUUUAUCCAUGAGCUGCAAACACCAGAGAUAGCUACAGUGUGAGUUUCCUCACACUGUCCUGUUAAUGACCUCAACUCUGACCUCUCGAGGGAAAAGGGGAAAUUUAGUCCAGAUCAUUUAUGGCCAUUUCCCGUGCAGAGCCGUGCAAGACACUUAUUGCUGACUUUGUAAUGUGAGCUACUGGCAACUGCAUGAUCACAAAAUUCUUAGUGCUCGAGGCCUUAGACCUACUAGGCAUUGUAAAGUUAAAAGUUCAGAAGUUUUCACACUAAAAGGUUUGCACCAGUGUAAAAACACUCUCUAAUCCUUAAUGAUUUAAGAAAGAUGCUAUGUAGCUUAACUGGAGCUAAAUGAACAUUUGACUGUACCUGCAUGCAUAACCAUGCUGCAGUGAUUUCCUUCCUUUUCUUAAACAUUUUGUCAAUAAUUUCCUACUCAGGUGUAGUCCAAAGUAAGAUAUAUAGUUUAGGGAGGGAAAGAACACAAGUAGAAAGUUAGGUCUAGUCUACCACAGGGAGAUAUCAAAGGG